This 497-nucleotide ribosomal RNA is filed under the name uncultured bacterium. RNAcentral describes it as "partial 16S ribosomal RNA". It matches the Rfam family "Bacterial small subunit ribosomal RNA", at positions 28 to 507 of the family's 1533-position model. The record is from RNAcentral.
GACGAACGCUGGCGGCGUGCCUAAUACAUGCAAGUUGAGCGCUGAAGGUUGGUACUUGUACCGACUGGAUGAGCAGCGAACGGGUGAGUAACGCGUGGGGAAUCUGCCUUUGAGCGGGGGACAACAUUUGGAAACGAAUGCUAAUACCGCAUAAAAACUUUAAACACAAGUUUUAAGUUUGAAAGAUGCAAUUGCAUCACUCAAAGAUGAUCCCGCGUUGUAUUAGCUAGUUGGUGAGGUAAAGGCUCACCAAGGCGAUGAUACAUAGCCGACCUGAGAGGGUGAUCGGCCACAUUGGGACUGAGACACGGCCCAAACGCCUACGGGAGGCAGCAGUAGGGAAUCUUCGGCAAUGGAGGAAAGUCUGACCGAGCAACGCCGCGUGAGUGAAGAAGGUUUUCGGAUCGUAAAACUCUGUUGGUAGAGAAGAACGUUGGUGAGAGUGGAAAGCUCAUCAAGUGACGGUAACUACCCAGAAAGGGACGGCUAACUACGUG